RNAcentral lists this ribosomal RNA (2754 nucleotides) under Escherichia coli. RNAcentral's name for it is "partial 23S ribosomal RNA". It matches the Rfam family "Bacterial large subunit ribosomal RNA". Lineage: Bacteria; Pseudomonadati; Pseudomonadota; Gammaproteobacteria; Enterobacterales; Enterobacteriaceae. The record is from RNAcentral.
CAUUAACUGAAUCCAUAGGUUAAUGAGGCGAACCGGGGGAACUGAAACAUCUAAGUACCCCGAGGAAAAGAAAUCAACCGAGAUUCCCCCAGUAGCGGCGAGCGAACGGGGAGGAGCCCAGAGCCUGAAUCAGUGUGUGUGUUAGUGGAAGCGUCUGGAAAGGCGCGCGAUACAGGGUGACAGCCCCGUACACAAAAAUGCACAUAUUGUGAGCUCGAUGAGUAGGGCGGGACACGUGGUAUCCUGUCUGAAUAUGGGGGGACCAUCCUCCAAGGCUAAAUACUCCUGACUGACCGAUAGUGAACCAGUACCGUGAGGGAAAGGCGAAAAGAACCCCGGCGAGGGGAGUGAAAAAGAACCUGAAACCGUGUACGUACAAGCAGUGGGAGCCUCUUAAUGGGGUGACUGCGUACCUUUUGUAUAAUGGGUCAGCGACUUAUAUUCUGUAGCAAGGUUAACCGAAUAGGGGAGCCGAAGGGAAACCGAGUCUUAACUGGGCGUUAAGUUGCAGGGUAUAGACCCGAAACCCGGUGAUCUAGCCAUGGGCAGGUUGAAGGUUGGGUAACACUAACUGGAGGACCGAACCGACUAAUGUUGAAAAAUUAGCGGAUGACUUGUGGCUGGGGGUGAAAGGCCAAUCAAACCGGGAGAUAGCUGGUUCUCCCCGAAAGCUAUUUAGGUAGCGCCUCGUGAAUUCAUCUCCGGGGGUAGAGCACUGUUUCGGCAAGGGGGUCAUCCCGACUUACCAACCCGAUGCAAACUGCGAAUACCGGAGAAUGUUAUCACGGGAGACACACGGCGGGUGCUAACGUCCGUCGUGAAGAGGGAAACAACCCAGACCGCCAGCUAAGGUCCCAAAGUCAUGGUUAAGUGGGAAACGAUGUGGGAAGGCCCAGACAGCCAGGAUGUUGGCUUAGAAGCAGCCAUCAUUUAAAGAAAGCGUAAUAGCUCACUGGUCGAGUCGGCCUGCGCGGAAGAUGUAACGGGGCUAAACCAUGCACCGAAGCUGCGGCAGCGACACUAUGUGUUGUUGGGUAGGGGAGCGUUCUGUAAGCCUGUGAAGGUGGCCUGUGAGGGUUGCUGGAGGUAUCAGAAGUGCGAAUGCUGACAUAAGUAACGAUAAAGCGGGUGAAAAGCCCGCUCGCCGGAAGACCAAGGGUUCCUGUCCAACGUUAAUCGGGGCAGGGUGAGUCGACCCCUAAGGCGAGGCCGAAAGGCGUAGUCGAUGGGAAACAGGUUAAUAUUCCUGUACUUGGUGUUACUGCGAAGGGGGGACGGAGAAGGCUAUGUUGGCCGGGCGACGGUUGUCCCGGUUUAAGCGUGUAGGCUGGUUUUCCAGGCAAAUCCGGAAAAUCAAGGCUGAGGCGUGAUGACGAGGCACUACGGUGCUGAAGCGACAAAUGCCCUGCUUCCAGGAAAAGCCUCUAAGCAUCAGGUAACAUCAAAUCGUACCCCAAACCGACACAGGUGGUCAGGUAGAGAAUACCAAGGCGCUUGAGAGAACUCGGGUGAAGGAACUAGGCAAAAUGGUGCCGUAACUUCGGGAGAAGGCACGCUGAUAUGUAGGUGAAGCGACUUGCUCGUGGAGCUGAAAUCAGUCGAAGAUACCAGCUGGCUGCAACUGUUUAUUAAAAACACAGCACUGUGCAAACACGAAAGUGGACGUAUACGGUGUGACGCCUGCCCGGUGCCGGAAGGUUAAUUGAUGGGGUUAGCGGUAACGCGAAGCUCUUGAUCGAAGCCCCGGUAAACGGCGGCCGUAACUAUAACGGUCCUAAGGUAGCGAAAUUCCUUGUCGGGUAAGUUCCGACCUGCACGAAUGGCGUAAUGAUGGCCAGGCUGUCUCCACCCGAGACUCAGUGAAAUUGAACUCGCUGUGAAGAUGCAGUGUACCCGCGGCAAGACGGAAAGACCCCGUGAACCUUUACUAUAGCUUGACACUGAACAUUGAGCCUUGAUGUGUAGGAUAGGUGGGAGGCUUUGAAGUGUGGACGCCAGUCUGCAUGGAGCCGACCUUGAAAUACCACCCUUUAAUGUUUGAUGUUCUAACGUGGGCCCCUUACCGGGGUUGCGGACAGUGUCUGGUGGGUAGUUUGACUGGGGCGGUCUCCUCCUAAAGAGUAACGGAGGAGCACGAAGGUUGGCUAAUCCUGGUCGGACAUCAGGAGGUUAGUGCAAUGGCAUAAGCCAGCUUGACUGCGAGCGUGACGGCGCGAGCAGGUGCGAAAGCAGGUCAUAGUGAUCCGGUGGUUCUGAAUGGAAGGGCCAUCGCUCAACGGAUAAAAGGUACUCCGGGGAUAACAGGCUGAUACCGCCCAAGAGUUCAUAUCGACGGCGGUGUUUGGCACCUCGAUGUCGGCUCAUCACAUCCUGGGGCUGAAGUAGGUCCCAAGGGUAUGGCUGUUCGCCAUUUAAAGUGGUACGCGAGCUGGGUUUAGAACGUCGUGAGACAGUUCGGUCCCUAUCUGCCGUGGGCGCUGGAGAACUGAGGGGGGCUGCUCCUAGUACGAGAGGACCGGAGUGGACGCAUCACUGGUGUUCGGGUUGUCAUGCCAAUGGCACUGCCCGGUAGCUAAAUGCGGAAGAGAUAAGUGCUGAAAGCAUCUAAGCACGAAACUUGCCCCGAGAUGAGUUCUCCCUGACUCCUUGAGAGUCCUGAAGGAACGUUGAAGACGACGACGUUGAUAGGCCGGGUGUGUAAGCGCAGCGAUGCGUUGAGCUAACCGGUACUAAUGAACCGUGAGGCUUAACCUU